Fopius arisanus is the source of this 1695-nucleotide long non-coding RNA. RefSeq lists it as uncharacterized. The transcript is spliced from 2 exons. The record is from RefSeq and is a predicted model, not a curated record. Lineage: Eukaryota; Metazoa; Arthropoda; Insecta; Hymenoptera; Braconidae.
ACUAUUGAAAGUACUGCAUUAUGAGCGGAAUAAGUGGUCAUCGGGCUUCAGUUGUAAUUUUUAAAUCGAAAAGGUGGAACUGCAAUUUUUUCAGAAUACCAAUUACUGAUGGGAAUGAUUGAUUUCUGAAAGAAAUAUCAGAAUUUAUUCGUACCGCAUGUCGACUUGCAAUUCGCAAUGAUGAAUAAUUUUUUAUUACGAUUACGCCGGUAAUUCAAGGAUAUAUUUACCUGAGCUGUAUUUAUUCUCCUUGACCUUCAUAUAAUAAUUUUUAAUUAAUUCAGGGUACAGUGGAUAUAAAAUAUUCGUGUUUUGAGUAAAAUUAUCAUGAGAUGAAAUUGAAGGUUGAGAUAUUGAAGGAAAGGUGAAAUUAAUCCGAAUAAUUGGUAGAGCAAUCGCUGAUAAGAAUCAAUAAGUUCAAUAUUUACGUCCGAACUUUCGUCCGGAAUGAAAUAUUGUACUUUUCGAUAGUGCAACGUUCUAGUGGUUGGCCAUUGGCGAAUUAAUUGUUCAAUCACUCGUAGUGAUAGGGCAUUGCAACGAAUAUUGGCCAGAGGAAACUUUUCACCGAUCGGAAAAUAUCAGUUCGACCAAUUCGUCAAGCGGUUUUUGGUAUUGCCAUAGUGGGAUACAUUUAUAGCUUCCUGAAAAUUAUUUUCACGAGUUUAUCACUAUCGACUGCGCUUUAUCAAUUAUCUCAGUUUACUCCUGCACAGACUGUCCGUUAUGAAAUUAGAACAACAAAUGAUUGAAUAGAUUUAUCAAUUAAGACGAAAAUGAAAUAAUUCACAAUUAAAUUUUCGAGCUCAUGAAGUGGUUCUCAGUAUUUUGUCAUUAUUUUAGCUAGUCCUCUAUUUCGAUAUUGAUCUUGGGAGUACAGCUGUACAAUUAAAAAAUUAGUCAUGCGUGCUCUUUCGUUUACGACGUAUUCAUUCAUAUUUUUAACGAAACGUUAAUUACAAUUAUGAACGAAUUGUUAAUUACAAUUUUUCUUAGGAACAUGGCAGAGAGAGUAAUUGAUUGUGACCGCAUGUUCAAAAUUCUCUCCAUUUGAUCUUGAAAUUCAAAUAUUACCUUUUUGUAAUGAUUCCUUUGGUGUAUGGAUUACAUUGCAUGUUUACGAGUAAAUUAAUCCUUCAUUCGUCCAAUAACCUUCAACACAAGAUAAAUUUGAUUCGUGAAUGAACGAAAUAUUUCCGGUAGUAUUUGUCAUCAUUAAACGGGAGAUAAAAAUUUGUGAUAAAUCCAUGAUAAGGUGUAGGUGUCGCUUGUAGAUUUAUAUAUAAAACACCGCGAUCGGUCACACAUGAAGAGUUGUGAGAUAAUAAGCAACAUUGCCAGGUGAAUAAUCCCCGAAAUCACAAUAUGAGACAAGUAUUUUUAUUUCUACUGAUCGCCUUCAGCCUCGCUGCAGUUGCGAUGGCAGCUCCUGAUAUUUGGGAAAUUCCCAUAACUCAACCGACUUGCAGUAAAAUUGGAGAAUUCUGCCACACUACUGAUCAAUGCUGCAAGCCAUAUCGUUGUCUCUCAUUUAGAGCGAGAUGUGUGACCUAAGAUUGACGAUUAAACACCUGCUGAUGAAUCAUUAAUUAAUAAAUAGUUAUUAUUACUGAGAAAGUUUACCUAAUCGUACGUUUUCACCCUGUAAUUUCCUCAUAAAUGUCAUGAAUAAAUAAAUACCAGAUAUCGAAUUAA